Molecule: ribosomal RNA, 504 nt
Filed under: Escherichia sp.
Lineage: Bacteria; Pseudomonadati; Pseudomonadota; Gammaproteobacteria; Enterobacterales; Enterobacteriaceae
Description: bacterial SSU rRNA
Rfam family: Bacterial small subunit ribosomal RNA
Source: RNAcentral
GUAGGUGGGGUAACGGCUCACCUAGGCGACGAUCCCUAGCUGGUCUGAGAGGAUGACCAGCCACACUGGAACUGAGACACGGUCCAGACUCCUACGGGAGGCAGCAGUGGGGAAUAUUGCACAAUGGGCGCAAGCCUGAUGCAGCCAUGCCGCGUGUAUGAAGAAGGCCUUCGGGUUGUAAAGUACUUUCAGCGGGGAGGAAGGGAGUAAAGUUAAUACCUUUGCUCAUUGACGUUACCCGCAGAAGAAGCACCGGCUAACUCCGUGCCAGCAGCCGCGGUAAUACGGAGGGUGCAAGCGUUAAUCGGAAUUACUGGGCGUAAAGCGCACGCAGGCGGUUUGUUAAGUCAGAUGUGAAAUCCCCGGGCUCAACCUGGGAACUGCAUCUGAUACUGGCAAGCUUGAGUCUCGUAGAGGGGGGUAGAAUUCCAGGUGUAGCGGUGAAAUGCGUAGAGAUCUGGAGGAAUACCCGGUGGCGAAGGCGGCCCCCUGACGAAGACUACG